CCAGCAGAGGUGUUGCAUGGUUGUCGUCAGCUCGUGUCGUGAGAUGUUGGGUUAAGUCCCGCAACGAGCGCAACCCNUAUUCGAUGUUGCUAUCCCGCAAGGGAGCACUCUUCGAAAACUGCCUUCGAUAAGAAGGAGGAAGGUGGGGACGACGUCAAAUCCUCAUGGCCCUUAUGUCCAGGGCUACACACGUGCUACAAUGGCCGGUACAACGGGAAGCAAUACCGCAAGGUGGAGCCAAACCCUUAAAGCCGGCCUCAGUUCAGAUCGUGGGCUGCAACUCGCCCACGUGAAGGCGGAAUCGCUAGUAAUCGCGAAUCAGCAGGUCGCGGUGAAUACGUUCCCGGGCCUUGUACACACCGCCCGUCACACCACGAAAGCCCGCUGCAACAGAAAUCGGUGAUCUAACCGGCAAGGGAGGAAGCCGCUGAAGUUGUGGUUGGUGAUUGGGGUGAAGUCGUAACAAGGU
Molecule: ribosomal RNA, 469 nt
Filed under: uncultured Pseudomonadota bacterium
Lineage: Bacteria; Pseudomonadati; Pseudomonadota
Description: bacterial SSU rRNA
Rfam family: Bacterial small subunit ribosomal RNA
Source: RNAcentral